UUUCCGUAGGUGAACCUGCGGAAGGAUCAUUAAAAGAUUUAGCAUAUUCUUCUGAAUAUACUUCAUUAACCCAUUCCGAGUACCUUACCCGUUGCUUCCGCGAGGCUGUCCUCACGGCCCUUUGAAGAUUUAUCGUUGGAGAGUCCUUGCGGGAGGUAUACAAUAAACUCUUGCAUUACCAUGUCGUCUGUCUGAAUCUGUUUAAAACAAAUAUUAAAACUUUCAACAACGGAUCUCUUGGUUCUC
RNAcentral lists this unclassified non-coding RNA (246 nucleotides) under plant metagenome. Its description in RNAcentral is "partial contains small subunit ribosomal RNA, internal transcribed spacer 1, and 5.8S ribosomal RNA". The record is from RNAcentral.